CCCUACUGCUAUCGGGGUGGGACUAAGACAUGCUAGUCGAGCGCCCUGAGCUAUGGCGAGGCGCGGCGUACAGCUCAGUAACACGUGGCUAACCUACCCUUAGGACGGAGACAACCCCGGGAAACUGGGGCUAAUAUCUGAUAGGUGAGGAGGCCUGGAAUGGUUCUUCGCUGAAAAGGCGUUGAAACCAUGCUUUUCAGCGUCGCCUAAGGAUGGGGCCGCGUCCGAUCAGGUUGUUGGUGGGGUAACGGCUCACCAAGCCUAUAACCGGUACGGGCCGUGAGAGCGGGAGCCCGGAGAUGGGCACUGAAACAGGGGCCCAGGCCCUACGGGGCGCAGCAGUCGCAAAACCUCCACAAUGCACGAAAGUGCGAUGGGGUUACCCCUAGUGCCGUCCGCUGAGGAUGGCUUUUACCCGGUGUAAUGAGCCGGGAGAAUAAGGAGAGGGCAAGUCUGGUGUCAGCCGCCGCGGUAAUACCAGCUCUCCGAGUGGUAGGGAUGAUUAUUGGGCUUAAAGCGUUCGUAGCCGGCUUAGCAAGUCUCCUGUUAAAUUCAGCGACCCAAUCGUUGAGCCGCGGGGGAUACUACUAGGCUAGGAGGCGGAAGAGGUCAACGGUAUUCUUGGGGUAGGGGUGAAAUCCUAUAAUCCCAAGAGGACCACCAGUGGCGAAGGCUGUUGACUAGUACGCGCUCGACGGUGAGGGACGAAAGCUGGGGGAGCGAACCGGAUUAGAUACCCGGGUAGUCCCAGCUGUAAACGAUGCGGGCUAGGUGUUGAGGUGGCUACGAGCCACUUCAGUGCCGCAGGGAAGCCAUUAAGCCCGCCGCCUGGGGAGUACGGUCGCAAGGCUGAAACUUAAAGGAAUUGGCGGGGGAGCACCACAAGGCGUGAAGCUUGCGGUUU
Molecule: ribosomal RNA, 904 nt
Filed under: uncultured archaeon
Lineage: Archaea
Description: bacterial SSU rRNA
Rfam family: Archaeal small subunit ribosomal RNA
Source: RNAcentral